AACACAUGCAAGUCGAACGGCAGCACAGAGGAGCUUGCUCCUUGGGUGGCGAGUGGCGGACGGGUGAGGAAUACAUCGGAAUCUACUCUGUCGUGGGGGAUAACGUAGGGAAACUUACGCUAAUACCGCAUACGACCUACGGGUGAAAGCAGGGGAUCUUCGGACCUUGCGCGAUUGAAUGAGCCGAUGUCGGAUUAGCUAGUUGGCGGGGUAAAGGCCCACCAAGGCGACGAUCCGUAGCUGGUCUGAGAGGAUGAUCAGCCACACUGGAACUGAGACACGGUCCAGACUCCUACGGGAGGCAGCAGUGGGGAAUAUUGGACAAUGGGCGCAAGCCUGAUCCAGCCAUACCGCGUGGGUGAAGAAGGCCUUCGGGUUGUAAAGCCCUUUUGUUGGGAAAGAAAUCCAGCCGGCUAAUACCUGGUUGGGAUGACGGUACCCAAAGAAUAAGCACCGGCUAACUUCGUGCCAGCAGCCGCGGUAAUAC
Molecule: ribosomal RNA, 487 nt
Filed under: uncultured bacterium
Lineage: Bacteria
Description: bacterial SSU rRNA
Rfam family: Bacterial small subunit ribosomal RNA
Source: RNAcentral